Molecule: ribosomal RNA, 661 nt
Filed under: Ceratandra harveyana
Lineage: Eukaryota; Viridiplantae; Streptophyta; Magnoliopsida; Asparagales; Orchidaceae
Description: eukaryotic LSU rRNA
Rfam family: 5.8S ribosomal RNA (bases 215-370)
Source: RNAcentral
AACAAGUGAAUAACCGACUGGCGGCGAGCCAUCGCUGCCGUGCACCCGUCCGUCUCUUUCAGGAAUACUCGUCGGAGACCCGUUAUUCCGGCGGACGGGAGAACAAUUGGGCGCAGCUCUGUGCCAAGGAACAAAUGCAGCAUGAGCGCCGACGACAACAUCCCAAAUAUUUCACGAUUUUUGCGGAAUUGUCGCCCGCUCCUUAAAACUGUAGGACUCUCGGCAAUGGAUAUCUUGGCUCUCGCAUCGAUGAAGAGCGCAGCGAAAUGCGAUACGUGGUGCGAAUUGCAGAAUCCCGUGAACCAUCGAGUUUUUGAACGCAAGUUGCGCCCGAGGCCAACUGGCCGAGGGCACGUCCGCCUGGGCGUCAAGCAUUACAUCGCUCCGCUAAGCCAACCCAACGCAAUGCGUCGGCGUUGUCCCGGAUGCGGAGAGUGGCCCGUCAUGCGAUGCUGCGUGGCGGGCUGAAGAGCGGGAUGAUUUUCUCUCGGCGACGAUCGAUAAAUGGGUGGGAUGGAAGCCCCAGUUGAUCCUCAUCAUCGCACAGCGUCGCCUCGAGGAAGCCGUAGAAAUCUCGGGCUAACCCGACUCUAGCAAGCGUUGCUUGAAAUGCGACCCCAGGAUGGGCGGGGUGACCCGCUGAGUUUAAGCAUAUCAAUAA